Non-coding RNA from Xyrichtys novacula (pearly razorfish), 901 nucleotides. NCBI's taxonomy places the organism in Eukaryota, Metazoa, Chordata, Actinopteri, Labriformes, Labridae. The record is from the annotation of a GenBank genome assembly.
UUCUGUACUUUCUGGUAGGCCUGCACGAUAUAUCGUUUGACUAUCGUCAUCGCGAUGUACGUGCCUGCGAUAGUCACAUCGCAGAGCCUGCGAUAUUGGAGGUGAAUGAACUCAUUUAAUUUCAAGGGUAACUGACUGAGAUACACUGCAUGUGACUCUGCAUGUGCUUUGCAGGGAUCCACCAAUCACAUUCGUCCUUAACUCAGUUGCCAAUCAGACUCACUUCUCAGUUGCCAAUCAGACUACCCUGCCAGCUGUCAAUCAAAAUCAGAGAGGAGGAAACCCACCCCUGCACAUGUUCUGCACAUGGAGGGAGACGUGUGUCCGCUGAGAAUUACUUUCCGAACUUUACUCAUGACUGUUUAGCCCAACAAAUAAGAACUGUAUGGGUUUUAAAUUGUACAUUUCCGUGGACCACUCUACUAUAAGCGGUGCGCGUUUUGCGAGGUGCAUGCAAUUCUCGGAGGACAUGCGUUUCUCGGCACAACACCGCUAACAACAACAACAACAACGAUCGCAAAAUGAACAACGAACAAGCGAAAACCACCGGAAAUGAAGAUUUGUUGCCUAAAAGAAAAGGAAAUUCAGUUAUCUGGAAUUAUUUCGGUUAAAAGAAGGACCAAAACACGUGUUCUGUGUUAAUCUGUUGCCACAAUAACGUCCCAGCACAAUAAAAGCUAAAAAUAUCUCUGAGACAGACAGAAGCCAUUCUAACAUUCACAAAAAGAGGUAAGAUCAGUGCAGGGUAACUGUCCUCAAGAUUUCAGCAGUGCAGCAUAACAUUAAAUGCUAUUCAGGUCAUCUGGUGAAAAUUCCUGUAUUUUUAAUGUCGCAAUAUAUAUCGCAGGGUUGAAAAAAUCGCAAUAUUAUUUUUUUCCAAUAUCGUGCAGCCUUACUUUCU